RNAcentral lists this ribosomal RNA (253 nucleotides) under uncultured bacterium. RNAcentral's name for it is "partial 16S ribosomal RNA". It matches the Rfam family "Bacterial small subunit ribosomal RNA", at positions 524 to 776 of the family's 1533-position model. The record is from RNAcentral.
UACGUAGGUGGCAAGCGUUGUCCGGAAUUACUGGGCGUAAAGGGCGUGUAGGCGGGGCGGCAAGUCAGAUGUGAAAUCCCAUGGCUUAACUGUGGAGCUGCAUCUGAAACUGUCGUUCUUGAGUGUCGGAGAGGAAAGUGGAAUUCCCAGUGUAGCGGUGAAAUGCGUAGAGAUUGGGAGGAACACCAGUGGCGAAGGCGGCGUUCUGGACGAUAACUGACGGUGAGGUGCGAAAGCGUGGGGAGCAAACAGG